RNAcentral lists this long non-coding RNA (3433 nucleotides) under Carassius auratus (goldfish). RNAcentral's name for it is "lncRNA (ENSCARG00000015932.1)". Lineage: Eukaryota; Metazoa; Chordata; Actinopteri; Cypriniformes; Cyprinidae. The record is from RNAcentral.
UAUUAAACCUGACCGUGUUCAGCGAAACCUGAUUUUAGAUUGAAAUAGAUCUGAAAAUGUGAUUAUGUUUGUGUUCUUAUUUAUUUUUCAGGGUGAUCGAGGUCCUCCUGGUCCUUUGGGUCCUCCAGGAGAGAAAGGUUCAACAGGGUAUCCGGGUCUUCCAGGAGGUCCUGGGGAUUUCGGCCCGCAAGGUCCACCAGUAUGUUUACCCAUGAUCCUCUGCGGUUCGAAACACAAAUUUUGGAGUGAAAGAUUGAGGUUGGGAGUAACUUUCCACUUAGCUGACAUUUUACUUUAUCUCUUUGUCUCAAGGGUCCACAAGGGCCGAGAGGAGCAGCAGGCAUUUCCGGGCCGAAAGGAAGAAGGGUAAGAUGACUAGUGAAAGAAAUCAUAUUUUUUGUUUAGCUAAAGAUGUCAAAGCGGAUAGAACAAAGCAAACUGAAAUCUGAACUGAAGUAGAGAGAUUUGAUUGGUGGAAACCUUUAGUGGUCGACCGAUAUAUCGCCGAAGCCAAUAUAUCGGCCGAUAUUUGGCAUUUUUUAAAUAUCGGCAUCGGCUGAUACAAUUAUUAUAAUGAUUGCUUUUAUAUUAUGCCGAUAAAUAACAGAAAGCCAAUCAUUAUAAUGCUUUCUUGUUUGCCGUCAGCAUUAAGCAAAUGCGCAUUUUUAUAAUUUAAACUAAUCUUUGAAUGACUAAUGAAUAUUUAAUUUCACAAACCUUGCAAACUUAGCCGAAUCCAGCUGUGAGAUCUUGUGAAGUGUGUGUGUUUAUCCGGCAUGAUCACAUGUUCUCUUCGGACGGUCAGUCUGUGUGAAUUGAAUGCUUUAAACUUUAAACUUUUGAUUUCAAAUUAUACUGCGUUUAUGCGUUUGCCCAGUGUCAUAUUCAUUUCAUCUUCACUGUGUGCUGUAUGUAAAAUGAGGCUUUAUUUGAAAAAUAUUAUUCCCAGUGCACACAAAUUUCCCAGAAUAUUGAUUGCCAUGUUGAUUACUGUGUUUACUUCCAUUUUAUUAUGUUUAUUCAAUAUUUAUUUAUCUGUGAAAAAUACCUUGUCAUCUAAAGUAUAAGUAUGUUUAUUUUACUCAUUUAUGUUUUAAUCCAUUGCCAAAAGAUUUCAAAUUUCUUAAAUAUUAAUAAUAAUAUAUAUAUAUAUUAAUCAUAUCGGCUUUAUAUCGGCUAUCGGCCCUCUGCUUUCCAAGAUAUCGGCAUCAGCUGUCAAAAAACACAUAUCGGUUGACCAUUAGAAACCUUUGAUUGACAGUAAAAUAUAAGUUCAUUUGGAUGAUUGUUACCAAUAAAUAACUAGGUAUUUCAACUCUGAUUUUUAUUUCAGCUGAAGAAAUUAUCAUUUAAUAUUUAUUUUUUUGAUGUAAAGAAAAUUCUGGAUUUUUUACUAUUGGUUAAACAGGCAGUGGGUGGAGUCACACAGACCAAAAUAGAGACAGACAUUCUGACUCUGAAUGUACAUUUUCAAAGAGAAUAACUGACAGUAGCAUAGUUUUUCAGAUAAACAUGUUAACUUAGCAUAUUUCCUACAUUUCUACAAAAAUAUUAUGGGAUUUUUUGUAUAGAGUCAAAAACUUGCAGCACCUUUAAAGCUGUAGUAUUUUUGUCCUGACAGUAGAAUAUGAGACAGAUAAUCUGUGAAAAAAUCAAGCUCCUCUGGCUCCUCCCAGUGGUCCUAUUGCCAAGAAACAACCAAUCAGAGCUGUGGUCCGUAACUUUGUUUGUGUUGAAAAUGUAGAAAAAUGUAUAUAAUAAGCGAGUACACCAUGGAUCCAUUUUCCAAACCGUGUUUUUAGCUUGUCCUGAAUCACUAGGGUGCACCUAUAAUAAGUGUUUAUAUUCGGACUAUUUUAGAUUGCUUCGGGGGUACCGCGGCGGAGUAACCCAGUACCUUUGUGAUUCUUCAUAGACAUAAACAGAGAGAAGUAGUUCCGGCUACAAUGUUCUUCCGCAAGACGCAAGCAGUUCUGUUUAUUAACCGCUAGAGCGUAAUAUUGUGUUUCUGUUUAGAUGUAUUUUUAUAACAAUUCAUUUUUGAAAAUUAUUUCACAGUGCAAAACAAAAAAAAAAAAAAAAAAGUAAUGAUCCUAAAAAUGCCCAGAAAGGUUGAAAGUUUUUUUUUUGGUUGACAUGCAUGCAAGCCCAAAAAACACUUUUAUUAUCUUUUAAUAUCCAUUUAUUUUUACCUCCCAAACGAUUUGUUUAAUGAUUAGUGACACUGUGAUUGGUCUGAUUGGAUCAUGUCUGUAAUGCCUGAUAAAGCAGUGUUUGUGAGUGCAGUGCUGCUUAGUUUAUGGUUUUACCAGUGUUUUACUGAUCCAAAAGCGCCACCUAGUGGUAAAGAAUGAAUUUGUAUUUUGUAAGUGAAUGGCGUUUCUAGAUAAAGUGGUCAAAACGAAUAUUACAGUCACCACUGACAGUCUUUAUUUCACACUUAUUUGAGAAACGAUUUGUACUGAAUACAAGACAUAACACAUUUAAUUCAAUGUGUUACUUGGUGUCACUACACUUGUUUUCAGUCUAAUUUUUUAGUUUUAGUUUAUUUCGUUUUUUUAUCUAUAUUAUUUGUAUUUUUACAUUUUAUUUGGAUUAAGCUGGAAGAAUGACUUUUUUUAGGCAUUUAUUAUGUUGAAUGUAUGUAACAAAAAGUAACCGUUUUAAAAGUACAGUAGCAGAACCAGCUGGUUUAAUUAAUAACCGGUCACCGUGAGGGUAAAUACUUGCAGGAAAGCUUGACUAAGGUAAUAAAUGACAGAGAGAAAGAGCAUGUUUGACGUGAGUCCUAAUGACACAGGAUGAAGUCUGAUGAAAAGAGGUUUGAGCUUCACGCCAAACUCUGCAAUUAAGAGAGCGUUCCCCUCCGUUCUGUUUAUAUAAAACAGUGCAGAUCUGAUUUUAAUGAUGGUGAGAACGGGAGACUUUAAACCCCCUUGUGAAAACAUGCCAGACAGAUCACUUACACAUCCUGAACAGAGCGUGGAGAGUCUCCGUUCAUCAGCCCAAAGUCAACAAACGAGACUCUCUGGCUCUGUGCUUCUGCUCCUAAACUCAGUCUGCACCUGUAGACACCGUUAAAAGCCUGUUCCCAAUACAGUGGAUGCUGAAUCCCUUAUUAUGAGUUCAUACUAAAGCAGCAUUGUGUUUAAUCUGAGAAUGCAUCGCAAGAAGCUUAUUUUGUCCAAGAUUGUGGACAAAAUAAGAGAAAUGCUGUUAUAAAAAUCCCUUUUACAAUCCCAUAUACGUAUAAAUCAUCCAAUACUGACACAUAUAGAUUAAACUGAAUUGUAUAAUGAUGUGUAAUAUUUGUAGGUAUGUAUACUAUUGUAGGUAUAUUAUUUAUGUACCAUUGUAUUGAAAAUUAGUUUACAUUUUAAUUUUAGUGUAAUGUUUUGUUAAUAAUUGUUAUAAAAGUUUGUUGUUAAAAUGU